This 433-nucleotide ribosomal RNA is filed under the name uncultured bacterium. Its description in RNAcentral is "partial 16S ribosomal RNA". It matches the Rfam family "Bacterial small subunit ribosomal RNA", at positions 29 to 507 of the family's 1533-position model. The record is from RNAcentral.
AACGAACGCUGGCGGCAUGCCUAACACAUGCAAGUCGAACGAGACCUUCGGGUCUAGUGGCGCACGGGUGCGUAACGCGUGGGAACCUGCCCUUAGGUUCGGAAUAACUCCCCGAAAGGGGUGCUAAUACCGGAUAAUGUCUUCGGACCAAAGAUUUAUCGCCUUUGGAUGGGCCCGCGUUGGAUUAGCUAGUUGUUAGGGUAAAAGCCUACCAAGGCGACGAUCCAUAGCUGGUCAGAGAGGAUGGUCAGCGACACUGGGACUGGGACACGGCCCGGACUCCUACGGAAGGCAGCAGUGGGGAAUAUUGGAAAGUGGGCGAAGGCAUGAUCCAGCAAUGCCGCGUGAGUGAUGAAGGCCUUAGGGUUGUAAAGCUCUUUUACCCGGGAUGAUAAUGACGGUACCGGGAGAAUAAGCUCCGGCUAACUCCGUG